AAAACAUAGCCCUUGAAAAAAUCAAAGGUGUAACCUGCCCAAUGAUUUUAAAUUUCAUAAGAAUAAUCUUUUAUAAUAAAAUUUAAAGGACGCAGUAACCUGACUGUGGUAAUGUAGCAUAAUCAUUCGCCAUUUAAUUGAUGGAUAGUAUGAAUGGUUGAACGAAUUCUUCACUGUCUUAAAAAGAGAAAUCAUGAAAUUAAAAUAAUAGUUAAGAUGCUAUUUACUAUUGUAAGACGAAAAGACCCUAUAGAGCUUAACUACAAAUUUUUUAAUAAAAAGAAAUUUUUAAAAUUCUAAAACAAAAAGUUGGGUAGUUUAGUUGGGGCGACUAUCUUCUAAAAUUAACGAAGACAAGCAACAUUAAUAAUUAAUUUAUUGUAUAAUCCAUAAAUUUAACAAUUACAAAAGUAGGCUAUAAUGACCCGUUAUAAUCUAAUAAUAGAAAUAACGAUCAAUAAAUAAAAGCUACCUUAGGGAUAACAGGAUAAUUUUGUUCUAGAGAUCUUAUCGAAAACAAAGUUUGUCACCUCUAUGUUGAAUUAAGAUAUCCUGAUAGUGCAGAAGCUAUCAAAGGUAGGUCUGUUCGACCUUUAAAAUCUUACAUGAUUU
This 612-nucleotide ribosomal RNA is filed under the name Clava multicornis (club hydroid). RNAcentral describes it as "partial 16S ribosomal RNA". It matches the Rfam family "Bacterial large subunit ribosomal RNA", at positions 1810 to 2606 of the family's 2925-position model. The record is from RNAcentral. Lineage: Eukaryota; Metazoa; Cnidaria; Hydrozoa; Anthoathecata; Hydractiniidae.